GACAGAGGUGCCGAGCGUUAGGCGGAAUCACUGGGCUUAAAGCGUGUGUAGGCGGACCGUUAAGUACCUUGUGAAAUCCCCCGGCUCAACCGGGGAACGGCUGGGUAUACUGGCGGUCUUGAGCCAUUCAGGGGCAGUCGGAACAGACGGUGGAGCGGUGAAAUGCGUAGAUAUCGUCUGGAACGCCGAAGGUGAAAACAGACUGCUGGGGAUGAGCUGACGCUGAGACACGAAAGCCAGGGGAGCGAACGGG
This 253-nucleotide ribosomal RNA is filed under the name uncultured bacterium. RNAcentral describes it as "partial 16S ribosomal RNA". It matches the Rfam family "Bacterial small subunit ribosomal RNA", at positions 524 to 776 of the family's 1533-position model. The record is from RNAcentral.